Long non-coding RNA from Chrysemys picta bellii (western painted turtle), 10821 nucleotides. RefSeq lists it as uncharacterized. NCBI's taxonomy places the organism in Eukaryota, Metazoa, Chordata, Testudines, Emydidae. The record is from RefSeq and is a predicted model, not a curated record.
CAUUGGCUAGAUGGGGGCAGACAAGUGGAGUCCCACACCACCUAUGUCCAACUCACCAGGUGUGGGAGUGCUGUCAUGGAGUACCUGGAUUGCUCGGUGUCUAGUCAUGUGUAUUCUGAAAGUUGCUAAGGAGGUUGGAAGAAUUUGGUGCACUGGGGAGCUGCAGAUCCAAGGAUUAGUUCUGUCCCCAUUGCUUAUGGUCAGUAAUACCUGGCCUGCUAAAUUGGCGCGGCUGCAAUCAACAUUGAUUUAGUGGGUCUGAUAAAGACGUGCCAGUUCGAUGGGAGUUCACUCUCCUGUUGACUUCAGAGGGGUGGACGCUAAGUUGGCGGGAGAGCGUCUCCCGUCGACAUAGCACAGUGUAGACACUGCAUUAGAUCCAUGUAAGCUACGCCGCUCUGGAGGGGGAUUUUUUCACACCCCUGACCGAUGUAACUUACAUUGACUUAAGUGGUAGUGUAGACCAGGCCUCAGAAACCUGACUACUACUCACACACUGGCCGCCUCCGGUAUAUUAGUUUUCACACAGUGACAGGCACUGUACAACGUGCCAAGAAAAUAGAGUCCUUGCUUGGAGGGGCGACAAGCUUGAGUUAGGAUCAAGUAGAACAAAGACAACAGAAUAAGCCCAGAGUUGGGUGCUGUCUUAUCCAUGGAGAAGAAGCAGCACGUUUGCUGAACACUAAUCAUCAGGAGGUUGUCCCGGGUGUAAGGAGCAGCACGGAAGAGGGCACAAAGCCAGGAGUGGGCGAUGAAGACAGGGGACGCAAUCAGAAGAGAAGACUGGGCUGAGGGUAAGAGGCAAGAGCUGGAGUAGGAGGGGACGGAAGGAGAGACGUCAGCAAGGGAGAAGUUGUGCAGGCCUUGAAAAUGUGGAAACACUUUGGAGAGGUGAUGCAAGCCCCAUAUCACUACAGACAAACUUCCCUUAAAAAAACAGCAAGUGGAUGGCCCACUGUUAUUUCUGCUCCCCAUUGAAAACUCCUGGGUAUUGGCCAACACUGUGCAUGUCAGUUAACGUUACAGUAAGAGCGGCAAAAUACUGGCCCUAGUCAUAGCUGAACUGUGCAUACCAAGCUUCUAAUAUCGUUAACAACGGACUUCUCCACAAGUGUCUGCUUCAGUCCAUACGUGUGAAAAUGGACAAAAUCUGAGCAGUGUGGAAUUGUGCUAAGCAGGAAAGUACUUCUUUGGAGUAGCUGCCACAUUAGGUAGAGAUUAUCUCAGGCAAAAGCCUUUGAAUGAUCUUACUCUAUUAUACUGUGUUACAAGCUAAUAGCUGGCCUUAUGGGACUGCUGCUCUGAGCCAAGGAGCAAGAUAAUUAAUAUUGUAAAUGAAACAUAAAUUUCAGCUUUUGGCCUUUUCCACUGAAACUUAUUAACAAAGUACACUCAGAGCAACAUAAUCACCUCAAAUGCGGCCUGCGCUUUGCUUUGUGAGUUUCGAUCCUUCUGCUGAGAAAAGCAACACGAUUUUAUUUAAAAAAUAUUUUUUGUCUCAGACAAAAAUGGAACAAACGAGAGUUUCUUUGUAAGAAACUUAAUUGUCAUCAUCACACUGGGCUCUAGGAAAAAGAAAUGCCUUCCACUACAAAAUGUUUACAUUGGCUGCCCAGGUUUCCCCUGAUUUCUCUGGUGGGAAUGAAUAAUUAAGAGGUGAACUGGGCGGUGAAAAAAGGUCUGGGUGCGUUUAAGGCUAAUGUCACAGCAUUCCAAGGACAAAGCUCAUGGUACAUAGAAAGGGUUUUCUAUCAGGUAAAUGAAUUAAAUAGCUAAGCAAGAUGCCGAGAAGAAGAGUCAAACAAAAGCAGAGAAUUCCCAGUACGAAUGUAGUAUGCACUUACGACAGUUAUUGCAUGAAAUGGCUGCAGAACACACAUACGUGAGACACAGGGGCAAUGCACGUAAGGUGUUAAUAGUCUAAGCUGAUGCCAAGGAAGAAAAAGAGCAGACAGGGUCAGCCACUGUUUCCUGAGCUAAAUGUUCAUUUUCUUAUGGUGGUCAGAGCUGGGGGUGUUUUACAAUGUGCAAAACAUGCACUUAUAAUUAAAAUGAAAUUCACACUGACAGAGACAAGGGGAUGGCAAAUAUUGGCCGUUCACACAACAUCUAUAGAACGUUUGGGGGGACAUUUUUAAACUAAAGGCUUUAAAAAAAGCCCACAGAAAUAAAGUUGUUUGGGAAUUCAUAUGCAGCACACGGAGCCGCUUCUUGGUGGAAGCGAGCACUGAUUGUACUUUAAAAUAAGCAGCCACCCCACUUUGACUUUUAAUUUCCUGUCUUUUUGUUUGAAUAUGGGGAUGUUGCCAUUGUUCGUAAAGAGUAGAAGCUAAAAAAAUGUGGUAAAUACAAGAAAAGAGAACAGUGGGAUGAAUUUACCUGUCUACUAUGGCUGCUUGGAGCUACGAGUUCCUUAGGCAUGCAGAUAGGCACCUGGAAGGGGUUUACAAAAGUGUAUAAGUGAUUUAGGAGCCUAACUCCCCUUGACUUUCAAGGGCAGUUUGACACCUAACAUGCUAAGGCACUUUAUCAAUCUCAUCAGUUGCCUAGUUAUAUUAUUAGGUGCCUAAAUACCUUUAUAAAUCUGGCCCAAAUUUACUUUUAAAAUGGAACUUAGAUUCCUAAAUCACCUAGGUGCUUUUGAUAAAUUUUACUCAGUCAAAUGCAUCCCAGCUACUGCUGGAUGGUCUUUAUGUGGUAAUGUGUCUUAGCAUUCCUGCUUCCAAAACAAGAGGCACCUUAUAACUUUCACUCCAGUGAUUUAUAUUAAUUGACACUUUAGAGAAAAUUGAUCUCUACAAAUAGAAAGGUUCAGAUACUCAGUGUAUAUUGACUUCAGAGGACCUGUGCUCAUUUACCUUAUAUGACACUCUGGUCUCUCAUCUUUAAAUUUAGGAGUACAUAGCAAGGAUAAGAAAUCAGCUUUUCUUUUUCUUUGCUAGUGAUGAAUGUCUUUUAAUCACCUGCACCAAACUUAGACUCAACAAGUGUAUUGUCUUUCCUGAAGUGCGGUGCAGUAACAUCCAUUAUUAAGCACAGCUCAACUUUGAAAUAAACUAGUAGGAAAAACUAUGCAAAGAUUUAUUUUGUGUGUGUGUGGAUUAUUUUUAUCCCUUCAAUCGAAUGGGUAGUUAGGAAGAUCCUUUUCAUUUCUGCUAUUCCCUUAAGCUUUGGCUGGUAAGUGCAGGUUGAACAUAUGUCUUUAUGUUACGGAGCACCUAUCCAUCACCCAGGCCUUUUGUCAAUUCACCCAAUGUGACAAUUACAGCAUUUCAGAGAUGAGACUUUCUAAUCCUAUUACUCAUUCAUCAACCUGCGGAUGAUAGGAGAAGCCAGAUCGAAUAGUGCCAAAAGAGCAGUGAGGAGCCUUCUCCAGUGCUGUGAAACUAGGCUUAGCUCAGGCACAAUAGGUGUGUAAUUUAAGGUUUUGUUGAGCUGAAAUCCAAUCACAUACUUGACUGGUAGAUCACAGAAAGACACAGGCAAAGAGAAUGAGAUAAUUCUACCUCACACAAACACUUGAAUCCGGCUUUGACUUAAUAACAAAUGUUUGAUCAACCUUACACUGUUUCAUUCCAUUUUUUUUAUUGGCACCUAGUGAUGGGAUGGGGACUGUACUACUUUACCUACUUGGGUACUGGCCAGUAAUAUAAAAAGACCAGGUUGAUAAUGGAGGAACCUGAUCUGACUGAAACAUAGGAAAAAGUGCAGAUGAUCAGUGUAUGAAAGAAAUGAUGCAAAUAUGGCUUCCUGGGAUUGGACUGAGUAUGGUUUUAUCAGCACUCGGUACCACAGCAUGCUAUUGUGGUAGCAUGGUUAGAGGGGACCUAACAGAAACACGAGAAGAGAAAAUAAAAGGAGAGCAGUGAGUGGGGCAAGGUGGGAAAGAAUCUUUUUAACUCUGCUGUGAACUUUUUCUCCACCUCUCUCAUUUAACUGGAUUCCUCCUAUAAUCUAUGUUAAUUGGAGAAAACGGUGCAGAAGGUGCAACAUUUGCAUACAUACAUGUGAGAAAAUCUGGUACAAGGGUGUUGCACCUUAAAGUUGCUACCCAGAAGAGGUAGGCAGGUGUGUGUGUGUGUGUGUGUGUGUGUGUGUGUGAGACACAGAGUAAUCCCUAUACUAUGAAUCAGUUCUGUGGUGAGUUAGAAAGAUAGAUUUUAAUCCAGGAGUAGUUUUUCAGAUCCACCAUUAAAAAGUGGGGCAACACUGGCUGCACCAUCCAUUGCCUUUACAUAUUACAAAAAUGAUACCACAAAGCCUUUUUGCUAAAUGCAUAUUAAAUAACACAGUCAGCAACAACAUCCACCUACAUUCAUGUUUAUCACCUUCAUCACCACAGUGGCACUGCACCGUAAUCCAGCUUCUGUGAUCUACCUAACAUUAAUUUCAUAGAUCAACACCAAACUUUUCAAAAAUUUCGUCUGAUUUUGAGUGCCCAACUUUAGUCACCGAUCUAAUUUUCAGACUGGCUGAGCACCCCGCCGUGGGAUUUUAGAUGCUUGGGAUCUUUGAAAAUCCGAUUCAAGGUAUCUCAAGUUGGGCAGCUAAAAGUUCCGACCUCCAGCGUUAAUUGAAACUUUAAACAAACGGUGUAAAUAUUUUGGUUUUUUUUAAAAAGACAAAUGUUUAAUGUUGAUUCAAAUUUGGCAAAAGUAGCAAGUGCUGUAGGGGUGUCAUUGGAAUGAAAGAGCAACAAAAUGGCCCCUAGAAUCAAUCAACACAAUGGAAGUUUGUAACAUAUGAAAAGCAUACAAAGGCAUAUUUAGUGCCCAUUACAGCAUCAGUAACAAUCAUACUAUAUUUGUGUGAAAACAGGGGAGCCAAAUCCUACCCUGAGGAAUGUGAUGACCUGGUAAAAACAAGAACCUCAGAGAAAUGAAAGGGGGCAGAAGGCCACAAUGGGAGCAAAGAGCUAAAAUUCAGUUCAAGACUAGGAGUUAGUUGAAAGAGACCAAAGUACAGGCAAUGUGCUGCCUCCAGCCUAAAAUAAACAGGAUACAAUGUUCUGAAUUCUAGAACAAGGUAAUCCAGAAAUGAAAUGAAUAUUUUUUUAAAAACAAUGAGUUGUUUAAAAAAAAAAACCCAAUAAUUUGUUUGAUGUUCAAACACUGUGUGUGAGAGAGAGAUUUUCAGCAGCUCAAAGGAGUAAAAUGGAACUGAAAUAUCUUCCAAAUUGGGGAGGAAGGAAAGACAACUGAAUAUAAUCUGAGAAGCUCAAAUGGGAGUCAAAUAUGGUUCCAAAACUAGAGAUUUCAUAGACACAGAUAUUUCAUUCAAAUACAAUACAGAGUCUGACAUUUGACCAGACAAUUGGCUUGGAGUUCUAACUAGAAUAGCCUCAGUUUUAAAAAUAUUUAGGGGAAUAAAAUUUGAAUUUCCUAAGGCUUUGGUAGUGGCGAUCAGUGAACAUUGAGACAAACAAUAUGAAGUUGACUACUGUCUGACAUAUCAGAUUUAGGAAGAGAACAGCAAUUUUUGCUAGAUUUAGCCACGGACGUCAGCUCACAAAAGAAAUGUUCUUCCCCUGAUGUUUGCAAGCUUUUUAUAGCUAAACUCUCUUUUACUCCCAUGGAGGCAGGUUGUGUUUGUGCCACAUAUUGCGAGUGACAAAAAGCCACACAAAAUACAAUAGCUCUGUGAAUACUCUGUAACAGAGUUACUGCCCUGCCUGGGUGAGUGAACAUUCCUCAACAUACACACAGAUAACCCCACAGGGUGUGGCUCCUCCCUUGCUCAGGAAGUAAUUCUGAGCCAUUCAGAGGAGAAUCUGUUCUUCCUGACAGAGGGAAACUUUUUAACUUUUUGGGGACAGAGGGAAACUUUGGGUUACCACAACACCAACCACAAGACGGAAGCCGUCUCUCUAUCUGCUCCUAAUCCAGCAGCCUCAUUGAAUCCUGCCAUGUCGGAAGGUGAAGAACGAACCCCCCCCCCCCCACGCAGAACAGGUCUCUGUCAUGCUCAGAGCUUGCGGAUCCCCUGCAUGGACUCCUUAAAGUCUGUCUCCACCCCUCUCCCAGCAGUUCCCAGCUCAGCUGAAGGAGGAAAAUUAAGCUGUGAACUGGAAUUCCAUCAGGCUGUCUACUGUGAAGCCCUGGGGCUUUAGCAAAAGAGCAGCAGUGGUCAGAAACUGCACUCAACAGCCAUUGUGUCUUUCUACUUUAGCUCCUUCAAGAAGCCAUCUCAAUGCUGCCAAGUGGAUUAGCUCUCCAAGGGAGCUGCUGGCUCCCUCCUGCUUAUAGACAGAAUCCAUCACCUCCUUCCAUGCGCAUACCCUCCACUGGUCUGCAACCCAGGAUACCUACUCCACCCCCAAAGUUGGGCUUCCUUACUGUCAUCACCAAAUGCUACAAUGGCUAAUGCCAUCACUUGACCAUCUCUGAAUAUAUCUGCAAGGAUGUUGAAGCAGAAGCAAGAGUUGGAAAAGGAAAGAGUCCAUUUAAAUGAAGAACAGUGCCAAAGACACAGUUGUAAGGUACAGACGGGGAAGAUCAUUAAUGAAAGCACCGAAGCAGCCACAUCUGUGAUUGAAUACUCAGUCUUUUAGUCCCCACUGCUGUGUUUACUGCUCCUUAAUGUGGUAUUGUUUACUCACAAUUAAACUCUUUACCAUUAAUUUAACUUUCAGAUGCUGAAUUGGUCACAGAGAUUCAAAUCCCAGGGUCCGGACAGAUGUGUUCUAUACACUUGUUUAAACACGGCUCUCAUUAGGAAGUAAUGCAUGUAUAGCAAGCUGAUUACAGUACAAAGCAGGAUGCUUUAUCAUGGGAGCCUCUCUGGAGGCACCAGCGAGUUUGUCAGCUGCUGCUGCCACUCCUCUACCACUCACAUAAUGAGUGACAGUAAGGCCCAGGGCCUACUUAGCUGCAUGCUAGGAAUUACACAGCUUCCCUGUAAGAGCGCUGCAGAGUUGCUGGAUAGGAAGCAUCAAUUGUUGUCAGCCUAAAUUUCACACCAAAGAUAACAAAUGCUUGCAACCGAGGCAAGGAGAUAAACAAGUUUCCCAGCCCAUGUAAUUAAAACAUGUCUGCAUAUUUAACCAAGAUGUUCUCUAAAAUAUGGGAGUUGUGAACUGGUAACAGACAUCAACCGCAAAUGCCCAAAGUAAAGCGAAGGUUGAAAACCUUAUGCGAAGAUGCAUUUCUUUGCAUUGUAGGAGAGUGCUGAGGUAUGAACUGGGCAAUUUUGGAGCUUUAACUUUCAGUGUUGCAAUUUUCAACUACUGAUAUUUUAGCAGAGAUAUAACAUUGGGACUCUAGGAAAAUAGCGAGUGGAGAGUUCUACCUUGGAAGUCGGCGACUUCUGGGCUUCUAAAAGUGGGUAGGAGAAUUUAAGUAGUUUUUUAUUAAACUAUAUUUGAUGUUAUUUUCUCCUCUUAUAUUUCCUUUAUCUUAAGGGAUAGCUCAGUGGUUUGAGCAUUGGCCUACUAAACCCAGGGUUGUGAGCUCAGUCCUUGAGGGGGCCACUUAGGGAUCUGGGGCAAAAUCAGUACUUGGGCCUGCUAGUGAAGGCAGGGGGCUGGACUCUAUGACCUUUCAGGGUCCCUUCCAGUUCUAUGAGAUAUAAUAAUAUAUGGAGAUAUACCUAUUAUAUUAAGAGAACACUUUCCUUGUAAUAUAUGUGUUGGGCGAACUGAUAGACUUAGUCCAAGAUUUUGCAACCAAAGGGACCCACAGGAUAGUAUUUUUUCCCUUCCUCUGCCUCCUGCUGCUGCUCACUAGCUAUUGAAAGGGACACUGCAAAACUCGGGGGGUGGGGGGGGGAAGGAGCAAUUGUAGGUAAUUUUCCUAUUUUUGAAGUGUCCAUCAUCCUAUACUGUAGAUCUGUAAUUGUUUCCUUUAGACUUUUGGAUGCUUUUUUGUGUGCGUGUUGAAUGGAAUAGGACUCUAGGAUGAACAGAAAUCUGAAGAAAAUUCUGUUCGGAUUUUCCUCAUCUGACAUCAGUAAAUUUAGGUCUGAGACUUUACAGAAUUGUUGGCAUUGAUGUAGCCUGUUUUGCAGUGGCACUGUGGUCAAGUUCUCUGUCUCUAGCAUAUUUUAAUGCUGGUGAAAGGUAUUAUCCUAUUUGGCCUCACUUGAAAGUGGGAACACUACCAUCCGUGCCCUCCUGCAGGAACAACUUUAGCCAUCGCUGUGGAAGAGGGGAAGUGGAUGAGGUAAGAUUCUGGCAUGACAGCCCUAGAGGCUGAAAGCCUUUAUUUUCCCCAGGCAAUAGGUAUAGCGGAGGCAGUGACAAACUUUUCAGAUCGCUCUAAGAAUACAGAUAAUUAUUUUUCAGUGUUCAUUCAAUCCUUAGCAUUUCUGCUGAUUGUCAGAAGGGGCACAAAACUGCACUAAUUGUGAUGGGGGGCUCUGACUUGUGUGUACUAGAAACCCCAACUCAUUCCGCAUGGCCAGAUGAGCAUGUGCAGUGUCACUUAAAAAAAUUUUUUGAAUGCUUUUUUGAAUGCUUUGAAUUUUCAUCAUGAAAGAUUUACACAAUGGGAAAGAUUCCAUAAAUUAAUUAAUUUAAUGUAUGAUGUUCAAAUGGCGACGCUGUGUUUAUAGCCAGACUUCUAUUGGUUGUAAAUGGAAAUAAUCCUAACUGACAUGCAUUUCUUUUUAAAACCACAAAGAUUUAAAAGUUCCAAAUCCACCAUGAACUGAAUAAAGAUGGCAAGAGUGUAUUUAAAAAUAGCAUUUGAUCAAUUUUUUAUUAUUUUCUUUACACUAGAUUAGCUAUAAUUACAUAUUAAUAACCUAAAGCAUUAGAUAUUAUCUUCCAAGUGCAAACUAAGAAAAUCUAAUAUUUCAAUUGUUUAAAUUAGAGCUGACUGAAUGAUUCACAAUGAAUAAUUUAUUCGAUUAAUUUAACCACUAAUGAUUGCACAGUAUCCACAAGCAGAUUUCAGUUUCUAUGAAUUUGUUACUUGAUAAAUGUUUCCCAGAUUUUUACUCAAUGGAUUGAUCAUAAAUAUUUGAAACUUGAGCUGUGUUGCUGUGUUGCUUUUUUGUGAUUGGUCAGAAAAGUCCCAAGAUAUUGUUUCUGUUCCAUUACUGACACAGCCCAUACCACUUCAGACAGGAAGACUUGCAUGUAGAAAUUAAAAAUAAUUGUUAUGAAUAUAGUUAUUAUAUUAAUAUUGUGUAUUACCAUGCAUUUGCAUUUGGAAUUCACUUCUAACAGUAAAAAUCAAUCAUUUGAAUGUUUGCAGAAAGUAAACAUACAAGGUGUGAAAACAUGACCAAAGUGAAUUCGUAUAAAAUUCAAAUCAAUAUUCAUGACACUUUUUUGCAUUAUUCACCCACCUCUAGCUUAUAUGUCUUUCACAGCAUGUUGGUAUUAAUGGGUUUCAUUAAAAAAAAAAGUUGCAUGAAACAUAUGUUAGAGGAUUAUCUUGCUGUCCUGAGAUUGUGUUAUAUGCAUGGAACAGAAUACAUUAUUCAGGUUGUUUUUUAAUUCACUUUAAUAGGAAUUGGACUGCACCUGAAAUAGAUUUACUGUACAAGCAGUACUGAUAAUUAAAGCUGAACAAAUAAUUUUUGGCAAAUAACUUGCUCAAAGACGUUUGCUUCCUUUUUGGCUCAUUGACUGUCCACAAGCAAAUCAGUUUCCUCAAAUGCAUUUUUAUUUGAAAUUAUUCACAAACAAUUCCCCCUUUAAUAGAUUGUUUUAAACAAGUUCACUGCAAGUAUUCAAAAUAGGAGCUGUGUUGGUUAGUUGUGAAUCACAAUUUGUGACUGGUCACAAAUCAUAUGGUAGCGUUACUGUUCUGGUUGGAUGCGAUGUUCUCUCACUUUUGCGGGGAAUAUUUAAGCACAAAAAUUUAAAGGGGCAAAUUUUCUAACAUGCUAAAUGACUUAGCAGCCCAAGUCCCACUUUCAAAAGUGACUUCGGUGCUUAGAAAGCUAAGCCUCAUUGAAAGUCAAUUCCUGGCACACUCACUGCAAACAAUUGAGUGUUCCUUUUUUGAAAGGGUGCGAGCAUGGAUGAUGCAAAUUCAUUUUCAAAUCUGAGUGAACACUCAGAGAAUUGAUGGGAUUUGACCAGCUCUAAUGAUCACUGUGCUUCUGGCAGAAGUUCUCUUCAAUGGACAAACGAGAGGCAGAGUACAACACUUUUUUAGCCUUGUCACUCUAGCAAGAGAAUUAUGGUACAUUAAUCCUUUUGAAAUGCUUUUGCUAAUUCUUGUGUUGUUUCCCAGCAAUCUCAAGACUCUUCUUCAGUGAAGCCUACACAUUCAUCCACACACUUUAUUAGGCAUUGUAAAGUGGCUACACCUGCAGUUUUAAAUGACUAACACAAAUGUUAUAAUGGCUGUGAUCAGUCAAAGAAAAAGUUCAAAGUUCAAAGGUCAGCCUAUUGUAAAUGGAAACUAAGAGAUAUAGGAUGAUAGCUUGUUAAUGUUAUUUACCUCAUUCAGCUAAAAAACUUUCUCUGUGACUCCGUUGUGUCAGGAGGACUAACACUGGCAAUUCUGGGCAUUGUUAUUUGAAUAGGGGUUAAAUUAUUCUGUUUUGUCAUUAAGUGUUCCUUGAUUGGCAAUCCACAACACAAUAGGUGAUCAUUAAGGGAAGAGUCAUAAAACUGUUACGCUAUUUAAAAGUGAAUGGUGAAUGAAGCCAGAUAUCUCCAAGACACUUUCUACAGCUGCUGGAGGAGCAAUUUAGAGCAGGAAAGGUUAGAAACUACAUAGUCACAUUCUGGAAUGAUCAUCUAUUCAACAAAUAUUCCUAGUUUUGUUUUGAAAAAUCUUUACCCUGAACUUACUGCAAGGGAAUCUGUUAAUACUUUCCUAAAACAUGUAUCAGUGAUUUUAUGGCACGUCUCAAUUUUAU